RNAcentral lists this ribosomal RNA (446 nucleotides) under Bacteroidetes bacterium oral taxon 272. RNAcentral describes it as "bacterial SSU rRNA". It matches the Rfam family "Bacterial small subunit ribosomal RNA", at positions 28 to 464 of the family's 1533-position model. The record is from RNAcentral. Lineage: Bacteria; Pseudomonadati; Bacteroidota.
GAUGAACGCUAGCUACAGGCUUAACACAUGCAAGUCGUGGGGCAUCAUGAUGUAGUAAUACAUUGAUGGCGACCGGCGCACGGGUGAGUAACGCGUAUCCAACCUACCCUCCACUCAAGUAUAGGCUUCCGAAAGGGAGAUUAAUCCUUGAUAUCGUCAUUCUCUCUCCUGUUAGAAUGAUAAAAGGACAUCGUUUCGGUAGAGGAUGGGGAUGCGUUCCAUUAGGUAGUAGGUGGUUUAACAGGCCACCUAGCCGAUGAUGGAUAGGGGUUCUGAGAGGAAUAUCCCCCACACUGGUACUGAGAUACGGACCAGACUCCUACGGGAGGCAGCAGUGAGGAAUAUUGGUCAAUGGGCGCAAGCCUGAACCAGCCAUGUAGCGUGAAGGAUGACAGUUUUUUUGAUUGUAAACUUCUUUUCUGUGCGAUUAAAGUGUGGCAUUUAUG